UAAUACGUAGGGUGCAAGCGUUGUCCGGAUUUAUUGGGCGUAAAGAGCUCGUAGGCGGUUAGUCACGUCGGAUGUGAAAACCCGGAGCUUAACUCCGGGCCUGCAUUCGAUACGGGCUGACUAGAGUGUUGUAGGGGAGACUGGAACUCCUGGUGUAGCGGUGAAAUGCGCAGAUAUCAGGAAGAACACCGGUGGCGAAGGCGGGUCUCUGGGCAACUACUGACGCUGAGGAGCGAAAGCGUGGGGAGCAAACAGGAUUAGAUACCCUGGUAGUCCACGCCGUAAACGGUGGGCGCUAGGUGUGGGGAACAUUCCACGUUCUCCGUGCCGCAGCUAACGCAUUAAGCGCCCCGCCUGGGGAGUACGGCCGCAAGGCUA
RNAcentral lists this ribosomal RNA (378 nucleotides) under uncultured bacterium. RNAcentral's name for it is "bacterial SSU rRNA". It matches the Rfam family "Bacterial small subunit ribosomal RNA", at positions 521 to 896 of the family's 1533-position model. The record is from RNAcentral.